This 450-nucleotide ribosomal RNA is filed under the name uncultured bacterium. RNAcentral describes it as "partial 16S ribosomal RNA". It matches the Rfam family "Bacterial small subunit ribosomal RNA", at positions 354 to 796 of the family's 1533-position model. The record is from RNAcentral.
GUGGGGAAUAUUGGACAAUGGGCGCAAGCCUGAUCCAGCCAUACCGCGUGGGUGAAGAAGGCCUUCGGGUUGUAAAGCCCUUUUGUUGGGAAAGAAAUCCUGUCGGUUAAUACCUGGCGGGGAUGACGGUACCCAAAGAAUAAGCACCGGCUAACUUCGUGCCAGCAGCCGCGGUAAUACGAAGGGUGCAAGCGUUACUCGGAAUUACUGGGCGUAAAGCGUGCGUAGGUGGUGGUUUAAGUCCGUUGUGAAAGCCCUGGGCUCAACCUGGGAAUGGCAGUGGAUACUGGAUAACUAGAGUGUGGUAGAGGGAUGCGGAAUGUCUGUUGUAGCAGUGAAAUGCGUAGAGAUCAGAAGGAACAUCCGUGGCGAAGGCGGCAUCCUGGGCCAACACUGACACUGAGGCACGAAAGCGUGGGGAGCAAACAGGAUUAGAAACCCUGGUAGUCC